GAAUGAGAAUUCUCAUCUGGAAUUCCCAUUCUGGUUCUGGACUUACCACCUUGCUCACAUCCAUGAUCUAAUCUUUGCUGGCUCUACUGAUCCUGUCUGCAUCUCAGCUCCUACAUCUGGUCAGCAUGGGGACCGAAGACAUCCUCCCUGAUGUAUUAGGGUUUGUCUUGCUUUAUGGACUGGUCAGCUGCUGGUCCACCUGGUGCACAGGGAUGUGAAGCAAUGGAUGACACCCUGGCCAUUUCGUAUGAUCCAAUAUCUUGUGUCUAGGUUGUAUUUCAGGCCAACUUUUAGUGAAGUGGAUCAAUGCUUGACGCGCGUAAUGUAACCUGAUUCUUCAAGAGUUUGAUUAAUUGUGUCACAGUCACAGCCUCGGUUCAGCAAGGGUUCCUCUUCUGGGCAGUUCACCUGGAGAGCUAGAGAAACAGCACAUGACUGUUCUGAAGCCAGGCAGCAGAUAGAUGCUUCUUCAGCCCAGGGUGCAGAAUAAAGAUGAAAUAGUGGAGAAAAACCAUCAACACCUAUGUUGAUACGACCAACAAUCUCAUCUUAUGGAUGGAGAAACUGAGGUUCAGAAGAGACAAGUGAUUUCCCCAAAUUCACAGAGCAAUCAAGUGAAAGUGGAACAUGGGACUGAUGCCAAACCUGCACCUCACCACCAGGAUUGGUUUUAAACUCAUUCCUACAUCCCAUGGGAGUCUGGCUGGACAGAUCCCUUGACAGUGGAUAGAAAUAGCUCUCAAAGCCUAUUUUUAAGGAGAAUGUGAUGUCAGAAAAUGAGGCCGGACUGGACACUAAGAAGAGAAAAGAACGCACCAGACUGGAGAGCGGAAGAAAUCAGAUUUGUCAACUGGUGACAUAUAAUCCAGCAAGUAAUGCCAUUAACUAUCUGAAGAACAGGAGGUGAUGGAGGACUGAGAAUUCCAAAAUUUCCCAGUUUAGUGUGAACUCAAGAGGACUCAACUGGAGCAGGUCAGAAGUGUGCUGAGGAAAGCCUUGAAGAACUGUGAGAUAUGCUCUGACUCUGACCAUUGGUUCGAGAGCAAAGAGAUUAGAAAAUUAUCCAGCGACCUCCCCCCGACCCUCAUAUACCGGUGCAAGUGACUGAGGUAUUUUCUGGGAAGUGUUCUACCCCUCCAUAGGCUGAAGAAUACAAGAUUGGAAAGGAUGGUGAGAAGGGGUAUGGAACUUGUUAGUUACUGAGAAACCCCUCUAUGAGUGAUGGAGGCAAGUUGCUACCUCUGAGAGACAGCCUUCUCUCACUCCAGGGGAAGCUAUUUUUAGCACAUGCUGGGCACCCAGUAACUGUUCAUAUGUUCCAAGUGAUGAUGAAUUCAACCAAACAACAAGUCAAGACCCUGGCUAUCACUCAACUCAAGUCAGUCAUAACAGCUGACAAAAAUAAAA
This is a long non-coding RNA of Talpa occidentalis (Iberian mole), 1407 nucleotides long. RefSeq lists it as uncharacterized. NCBI's taxonomy places the organism in Eukaryota, Metazoa, Chordata, Mammalia, Eulipotyphla, Talpidae. The transcript has 9 exons. The record is from RefSeq and is a predicted model, not a curated record.